AGCAGCCGCGGUAAUUCCAGCUCCAAUAGCGUAUAUUAAAGUUGUUGCAGUUAAAAAGCUCGUAGUUGAGUUUCGGGGUUAGUAGGUUGGUCAUGCCUCUGGUAUGUACUGGUCUCACUGAUUCCUCCUUCCUGAUGAGCCGUAAUGCCAUUAAUUUGGUGUUGCGGGGAAUUUGGACUGUUACUUUGAAAAAAUUAGAGUGUUUAAAGCAAGCUAACGCUUGAAUACAUUAGCAUGGAAUAAUGAAAUAGGACGUUCGAUCCUAUUUUGUUGGUUUCUAGGAUUGACGUAAUGAUUAAUAGGGAUAGUUGGGGGCAUUAGUAUUCAAUUGUCAGAGGUGAAAUUCUUGGAUUUAUUGAAGACUAACUACUGCGAAAGCAUUUGCCAAGGAUGUUUUCAUUAAUCAAGAACGAAAGUUAGGGGAUCGAAGACGAUCAGAUACCGUCGUAGUCUUAACCAUAAACUAUGCGACUAG
Molecule: ribosomal RNA, 475 nt
Filed under: uncultured Glomus
Lineage: Eukaryota; Fungi; Glomeromycota; Glomeromycetes; Glomerales; Glomeraceae
Description: SSU rRNA
Rfam family: Eukaryotic small subunit ribosomal RNA
Source: RNAcentral